This 68-nucleotide transfer RNA is filed under the name Marmota monax (woodchuck). Its description in RNAcentral is "tRNA.Ala". The record is from RNAcentral. Lineage: Eukaryota; Metazoa; Chordata; Mammalia; Rodentia; Sciuridae.
GUGGUGGCUCAGUGGUAGACUACUUGCUUAGCAUGCAUGAGGCACUGGGUUCGAUCCUCGGCACCACA